Molecule: long non-coding RNA, 729 nt
Filed under: Ananas comosus (pineapple)
Lineage: Eukaryota; Viridiplantae; Streptophyta; Magnoliopsida; Poales; Bromeliaceae
Description: long non-coding RNA (ACOM_LNC035433)
Source: RNAcentral
AAAUUAGUUGCAAUUAAGUCUUAUAACCCAAUUUAAUUGACUAAAUAUUGAUAUAUUGCUAAUCUAUAAGUGAUGCGGCAGUGUUGCGAUUGAUGAUGCGCCAAUAAUUAAGACGCUUGUGUCAAUAUUUAGUCAACUAAAUUGGGUUGGGGGACUUGAUUGUAACAUUUCUGAAAGUUUGAACUGUAAAUUACAACAAAUUAAAGUUUGAGGACCAAGCGUCCAAUUUUUACCCUUCUAAGAAUCUUUCUUGUGUCAGUUCCCCUCAAUUUCAUCAACAACUAAUAUCUUUCUAUCAUGAAUUCCGCGAACGCAUGAUCACAAAACAACAAUCAAACCCUAUCCUAUCGUCAAAAAGAUCGAUCUAAUAGAAAAUAGAAAGCAGUUCAAUUCAUUUCGUUUAUUACGACCUGAUGAUCUGAUACCAUGUUAAUCAAAAGAUUGAAAAGACAGAAAAAGAAAUAAUGAUCUUAAAAAUUACUUUGGCCCCCAUAUGCUGUUAUUGGAAGGAGCAUCAGGAGGAGGAGGAGGAGGAGGAACAGAGCCAUCCAAUUCACGGUUCCGCCAUCGCGAAUUUGGAUUUGGGACCGUCAGAUCGAGGCUGGGAGGGGAGGGGGUAUGAUGGCAGUCUGCCUUCUCCUUCUUCUCCUUCUUUUUCUUCUUCUUCUUCAGUCUGGAGAGGAGAGCUGACGUCCCCGUUCUUGUCUGCUUGUUGGAGGUGUUUGUAAU